This is a long non-coding RNA of Biomphalaria glabrata, 1107 nucleotides long. RefSeq lists it as uncharacterized. The transcript is spliced from 3 exons. The record is from RefSeq and is a predicted model, not a curated record. Lineage: Eukaryota; Metazoa; Mollusca; Gastropoda; Planorbidae.
CUACUGGACUGACUGAAAGUGCUUGGCUUACACAAUCACAAAGGAUGAAUUCAAGGCUUACAAGACUUAAGCAGCCUACAACCAGUUCCUAGAUGGCUGGGUUCAAGAUGUUAUGGCUUAUAAACCACACAACUACCCAAAUACUGUUGUACUAGAAAAGGUUCUUCACUCUCAGCGGUUAGCAGAAAAGGUAUUGCAGCCCUGGAUAGUAAUAAGUCAAGAUGGUAUUAUUCUAUCAGCCCAAUGUUCUUGUAUAGCUGGACUUGGCGAGUCUGCACUCAUGUGGCAGCCACUUUAUUUAUGCUGGAAGCCAACACCAGAGUAAAAGAGAGUAAUAAAGACAGUUACAGGCGUGUCAUCUUACUGGACGAAUCCAUCAAAGCUUAAAAAAGUUUUGUCAACUAAGGUUUCUCAGAUUGAUUUCACCUCAUCAAAAACAAAAAAAAAAGUUAAAUUUGAUUCUCUUGUGGACAACAUCGCUUCUAAAAAUAUAAAUUCAAAGGCUAUUAAAUCCAGAGAAACUAUAAAGCUUAGUAUACAUUCUUUUAAUUCAUUUAUUGAAAGUAAUGAGAUAACACCUUGAGGUGUUAUUCCAAUCAGAUAUUUUACUGUGUUGUUGAAAGAAUAAGUUUGUGCCUGUGCUUUAAUGCUGAUAGGUCUCUCAAUGAAAAUUUUAAAACAGGCAUUUAUUACUUGGAUGUCAAACAUUUUACUGUCACUUUCCUGCCAUAAGUAUAAAUAAAUUCUUUGGGCAUUGUCUUUCCGAGACUCUCCUUAUUGGGCCAGAAAAUCAAAUCGAACAUGUUGACAUACAUAAGAUAUAAAACGUUUAUGAAGAUCUUAGAGGCAGUUGUGGGAUGAAUUUUAAACAUAUCAGCUAAUACAUAGGCAGGUUUACCUAGAAUAUUUGUAAUAAUGUGUGUUAAAAAAAUAAUUUGUGUACAUUCAUAAUUAAGGUAGUUAAAUUAAAUUAUAUAUAUGUGUAAAUGUGAGACAGUGCCUGUAUUAUAUCCAAGCUAUCCAAUGAGAAAUAUUUAUAUAAUUUAAUAUAUAGAUAUAUUUAUUCAAAUCAUAUAAUGCAUUCAUUUAUUUGUGGCAAUAAAAGAA